UAGUUAUCAAGAAAGGUGGAGGGACUAGACCCUGUGAAGCCUUGGCAACCCUUUUAGAAGUAGGUUUACUCCAAAAGAAGGUGCUAAGUUCUAUUCAAAAUUAGAUUCAUUUUUGAAAUAGAUAACAA
Molecule: non-coding RNA, 128 nt
Filed under: Paracellulophaga algicola
Lineage: Bacteria; Pseudomonadati; Bacteroidota; Flavobacteriia; Flavobacteriales; Flavobacteriaceae
Description: Cellulophaga algicola SAM-I sequence
Rfam family: SAM riboswitch aptamer (S box leader)
About the family: The SAM riboswitch is found upstream of a number of genes which code for proteins involved in methionine or cysteine biosynthesis in Gram-positive bacteria. The SAM riboswitch acts at the level of transcription termination control.
Source: RNAcentral